UAAAUAUUCUCUUUAAUUUUUUUUUUCUUGUCUUUUGGUUGCUUUUAUGAAUGAGCAUCUUGAUUAGGAUCAAUAAAAAAAAGGGGUCUCAACAGUUAGAAAGAAUUUCUUUCUACAAAAUUAAAGGUUGUUUAUGAUUGACCCUUUGAGUUAUAGAACACAAAGUUUUCACCUAUUAACUUGGUAGGUCACUAACAUGGUCCAACCAGCAAUGGCCCAAAAAGAGGGUGCCUUUGAAUGUUUCCCUUUGGUAUGAAAAAGUAAAAUAAAUUUAUAACAUUUUUAGUAAGAUCUGUUUUUGGGUUAUGUCAUAUAUCAAUCUGGAGAUUUAUUUUUAAAAAUCAUUCUUUUGGUGUUUGAGAAUUCAAUUGGGAUUCGGGAAUAGUAAUUAGUAUAGCUUCUAUAUUGGUUCCACCUAAGCACACUUAAAGUUUGCUCCCAUGUGGUGAUGGUGAACAUAUAGGCUGAACUGAAAUCACAUAAAAGAAAAUAUGAAAUUCCGGUUUGAAAUAAUUUGACCAAAGUUGGAAAGAUGAAAUUUUUUUAAAGAAUUCAUACGGUUUUCUUGGGGGUGGGGGGGCAAUUUGGCAUAGCAUUUACUAGGGAAUUAGUAAGUAAAUGAUAUCUUCUACUGAAGUGCCCAUGGUUGUAUUAUCAUAGAAAGCAAGAAACAGACUCAGGCUAAUGAAAAUAGUAGUGUAGAACCCAAUGAGCAUGCUUCAUUGGAUUACCAUUCCAUUUUUAAAUAUAUAACUUUGGUAUGUCUUUUAUCUUCUUUUUGGCUUUAUUUACCUUCAGGAACCAAAGGCCCUACUAGAGAAUGAGGCUCUAAGCAAAUAGAUUGUCCACAGAUGUUUGUCGCAAGAGAAAAUCACAUAAGAUCGAUCACACAUGCAAUGACUCAGGGAGUCAAAUGGCUCUGGAGUGAUAUAUUUGUUAAGAAGUUAUUGUCUUGUAGUUAGAAGCUUUAUCUCGUUAGUUUCAACUAUAAAAUAGUUAAUUUUCUUCUUUUGACAAAUAGGGGUAGAUGUCCUAAACUAAGCUGAGGUGUUUUUGGAUUUCUGUAAAUGCUAAGGCUAAUAAGGCAUUUCAACAAAAUUUUCAGUUCAUUUGAUUCGCUAGGGUAGUAAUGCAAAACACAAAUUACCUUGAAAUAAUGUGGAGAACUGAAAGAUUAAUAAAAAAGAAAAAGAAAUUGCCUUGAAUUUUGAUAUGAAAAA
This is a long non-coding RNA of Quercus robur (English oak), 1220 nucleotides long. RefSeq lists it as uncharacterized. The record is from RefSeq and is a predicted model, not a curated record. The transcript is spliced from 2 exons. NCBI's taxonomy places the organism in Eukaryota, Viridiplantae, Streptophyta, Magnoliopsida, Fagales, Fagaceae.